GGCAAGAUCUCCUGAAAAUAAUGUGUUAAAGAACUCACCGACUAUGAACGUAAUGCCGUGUGACUCUUUACGCUGUUUUGGUCUAAGGUACUUCAUGGCCUUCCUUUUGUCUUCCUCGGCGAAGUUUUUGAAUUUGAAGCUACAGUGCAGACAAGACCAACUAUGAGACCAGUGGCCACUUCACAUUGUCUGAGAACUUUCUCAAGGGAAGUUUUCAGCCGCUAAUGACCGAAAUCUAGAUAUGAUCUAAUCAUAAAAUCAUGGAACUUUCCACAACUUUCAGAUAAAUGGCAAGAACUUGUUUUCCAGUGACCUGCAAAAAAGCAGGAUCUUCAUGAUUACAAACAGG
Non-coding RNA from Cucurbita pepo subsp. pepo (vegetable marrow), 349 nucleotides. The record is from RefSeq and is a predicted model, not a curated record. NCBI's taxonomy places the organism in Eukaryota, Viridiplantae, Streptophyta, Magnoliopsida, Cucurbitales, Cucurbitaceae.